AACGAACGCUGGCGGCAUGCCUAACACAUGCAAGUCGAACGAGACCUUCGGGUCUAGUGGCGCACGGGUGCGUAACGCGUGGGAAUCUACCCUUGGGUUCGGGAUAACAGUUGGAAACGACUGCUAAUACCGGAUGAUGACUUCGGUCCAAAGAUUUAUCGCCCAAGGAUGAGCCCGCGUCGGAUUAGCUAGUUGGUGAGGUAAAAGCUCACCAAGGCGACGAUCCGUAGCUGGCUGAGAGGAUGAUCAGCCACACUGGGACUGAGACACGGCCCAGACUCCUACGGGAGGCAGCAGUGGGGAAUAUUGGACAAUGGGCGAAAGCCUGAUCCAGCCAUGCCGCGUGAGUGAUGAAGGCCCUAGGGUUGUAAAGCUCUUUUGUGCGGGGAAGAUAAUGACGGUACCGCAAGAAUAA
RNAcentral lists this ribosomal RNA (415 nucleotides) under uncultured bacterium. RNAcentral describes it as "bacterial SSU rRNA". It matches the Rfam family "Bacterial small subunit ribosomal RNA", at positions 29 to 489 of the family's 1533-position model. The record is from RNAcentral.